GAUGAACGCUGGCGGCCUGUCUAACACAUGCAAGUCGAACGAGGCAAAUAAGUUGAAGUUUUCGGAUGGAUUCUUAUUUACCGAGUGGCGGACGGGUGAGUAACGCGUGGGUAACCUGCCUCAUACAGGGGGAUAACGGUUAGAAAUGACUGCUAAUACCGCAUAAGCGCACAGUACCGCAUGGUACGGUGUGAAAAACUCCGGUGGUAUGAGAUGGACCCGCGUCUGAUUAGCUAGUUGGUGAGGUAACGGCCCACCAAGGCGACGAUCAGUAGCCGACCUGAGAGGGUGACCGGCCACAUUGGGACUGAGACACGGCCCAGACUCCUACGGGAGGCAGCAGUGGGGGAUAUUGCACAAUGGAGGAAACUCUGAUGCAGCGACGCCGCGUGAGUGAAGAAGUAUUUCGGUAUGUAAAGCUCUAUCAGCAGGGAAGAAAAUGACGGUACCUGACUAAGAAGCCCCGGCUAACUACGUGCCAGCAGCCGCGGUAAUACGUAGGGGGCAAGCGUUAUCCGGAUUUACUGGGUGUAAAGGGAGCGUAGACGGCGACGCAAGUCUGAAGUGAAAUACCCGGGCUCAACCUGGGAACUGCUUUGGAAACUGGGCUGCUAGAGGGCNGGAGAGGUAAGCGGAAUUCCUAGGGCAGCGGCGAAAUGCGUAGAUAUUAGGAAGAACACCAGUGGCGAAGGCGGCUUACUGGACAGUAACUGACGUUGAG
This 721-nucleotide ribosomal RNA is filed under the name uncultured bacterium. RNAcentral describes it as "bacterial SSU rRNA". It matches the Rfam family "Bacterial small subunit ribosomal RNA", at positions 28 to 750 of the family's 1533-position model. The record is from RNAcentral.